Molecule: small RNA, 28 nt
Filed under: Bombyx mori (domestic silkworm)
Lineage: Eukaryota; Metazoa; Arthropoda; Insecta; Lepidoptera; Bombycidae
Description: ovarian small RNA-26304
Source: RNAcentral
UCAUUAGAUCUGUUGUCUUGGUCGCAUC